This 482-nucleotide ribosomal RNA is filed under the name uncultured bacterium. Its description in RNAcentral is "partial 16S ribosomal RNA". It matches the Rfam family "Bacterial small subunit ribosomal RNA", at positions 30 to 507 of the family's 1533-position model. The record is from RNAcentral.
AUUGAACGCUGGCGGCAUGCUUUACACAUGCCAGUCGAACGGUAACAGGCCGCAAGGUGCUGACGAGUGGCGAACGGGUGAGUAAUGCAUCGGAACGUGCCCAGUCGUGGGGGAUAACUACUCGAAAGAGUAGCUAAUACCGCAUACGAUCUAUGGAUGAAAGCGGGGGACCGUAAGGCCUCGCGCGAUUGGAGCGGCCGAUGUCAGAUUAGGUAGUUGGUGGGGUAAAGGCUCACCAAGCCAACGAUCUGUAGCUGGUCUGAGAGGACGACCAGCCACACUGGGACUGAGACACGGCUCAGACUCCUACGGGAGGCAGCAGUGGGGAAUUUUGGACAAUGGGCGCAAGCCUGAUCCAGCAAUGCCGCGUGCAGGAAGAAGGCCUUCGGGUUGUAAACUGCUUUUGUACGGAACGAAACGGCUCUGGUUAAUACCCGGGGCUAAUGACGGUACCGUAAGAAUAAGCACCGGCUAACUACGUG